RNAcentral lists this ribosomal RNA (253 nucleotides) under uncultured bacterium. Its description in RNAcentral is "partial 16S ribosomal RNA". It matches the Rfam family "Bacterial small subunit ribosomal RNA", at positions 524 to 776 of the family's 1533-position model. The record is from RNAcentral.
UACGUAGGUGGCAAGCGUUACUCGGAAUCACUAGGCGUAAAGCGCAGGUAGGCGGUUUGAUAAGUCUGUUGUGAAAGCUCCCGGCUCAACUGGGAGAGGCCAACGGAAACUGUCAGGCUAGAGUGUGGUAGAGGAAACUGGAAUUCCAGGUGUAGCGGUGAAAUGCGUAGAUAUCUGGAGGAACACCGGUGGCGAAGGCGGCAUUCUGGACCGACAUUGACGCUGAGGAGCGAAAGCCAGGGGAGCAAACGGG